CCCUUAGAUGUUCGGGGCCGCACGCGCGCUACACUGAAGGAAUCAGCACGUCUUUCUCCUUGUCCGAAAGGACUGGGUAACCCGCUGAACCUCCUUCGUGCUAGGGAUUGGGGCUUGUAAUUCUUCCCCAUGAACGAGGAAUUCCCAGUAAGCGCGAGUCAUAAGCUCGCGUUGAUUACGUCCCUGCCCUUUGUACACACCGCCCGUCGCUACUACCGAUUGGAUGGCUUAGUGAGAUCCUCGGAUUGGUCCCGGCGCGGCCUCUGGUCGUGCCGGAGUGCCGAAAAGAAUGUCGAACUUGAUCAUCUAGAGGAAGUAAAAGUCGUAACA
RNAcentral lists this ribosomal RNA (330 nucleotides) under uncultured eukaryote. Its description in RNAcentral is "partial 18S ribosomal RNA". It matches the Rfam family "Eukaryotic small subunit ribosomal RNA", at positions 1470 to 1796 of the family's 1831-position model. The record is from RNAcentral.